Molecule: ribosomal RNA, 968 nt
Filed under: uncultured bacterium
Lineage: Bacteria
Description: bacterial SSU rRNA
Rfam family: Bacterial small subunit ribosomal RNA
Source: RNAcentral
AGAGUUUGAUCAUGGCUCAGAACGAACGCUGGCGGCGUGCUUAACACAUGCAAGUCGAGUGCGCGUCUGUAGCAAUACAGAUGGCGCACGGCGCACGGGUGCGUAACACGUGGGCAAUCUGCCCUUCGAUGGGGAAUAACUCCGGGAAACCGAAGCUAAUUCCGCAUAACAUUCCUUGGACUUUGGUUCGGGGAUUCAAAGCCGUAAGGCGUCGAAGGAGGAGCCCGCGCCCGAUUAGCUAGUUGGCGAGGUAAUGGCUCACCAAGGCAAUGAUCGGUAGCUGGUCUGAGAGGAUGGCCAGCCACACUGGAACUGAGACACGGUCCAGACUCCUACGGGAGGCAGCAGUGGGGAAUCUUGCACAAUGGGCGAAAGCCUGAUGCAGCGACGCCGCGUGGGGGAUGAAGCAUCUCGGUGUGUAAACCCCUUUCGACCCGGAAGAAUGCCUCGCAAGAGGACUGACGGUACGGGUAUAAGAAGCCCCGGCUAACUACGUGCCAGCAGCCGCGGUAAGACGUAGGGGGCCAGCGUUGUUCGGAAUUACUGGGUGUAAAGGGUUCGUAGGCGGUGCGGCAAGUUGGGAGUGAAAUCUCUGGGCUCAACCCAGAGGCUGCUUCCAAAACUGCUGUGCUUGAGUGUGGGAGAGGCGCGUGGAAUUGCAGGUGUAGCGGUGAAAUGCGUAGAUAUCUGCAGGAACACCCGUGGCGAAAGCGGCGCGCUGGACCACUACUGACGCUGAGGAACGAAAGCUAGGGGAGCAAACAGGAUUAGAUACCCUGGUAGUCCUAGCCCUAAACGAUCAGGACUUGGGGUGCCACCCGUUCGGGUGUCGUCCCGGAGCUAACGCGUUAAGUCCUGCACCUGGGGAGUACGGUCGCAGACUGAACUCAAGGAUUGACGGGGCCCGCACAGCGUGGAACAUGUGGUUCAAUUCGACGCUACGCGAGGACCUUACUGGGCUCGAAUGC